CUCCAGACUCCUACGGGAGGCAGCAGUGAGGAAUAUUGGUCAAUGGCCGAGAGGCUGAACCAGCCAAGUCGCGUGAGGGAAGACGGCCCUACGGGUUGUAAACCUCUUUUGUCGGGGAGCAAAGCGAACCACGUGUGGUUCAUUGAGAGUACCCGAAGAAAAAGCAUCGGCUAACUCCGUGCCAGCAGCCGCGGUAAUACGGAGGAUGCGAGCGUUAUCCGGAUUUAUUGGGUUUAAAGGGUGCGCAGGCGGAGGUGCAAGUCAGCGGUCAAAUUGCGGGGCUCAACCCCGUACUGCCGUUGAAACUGGCGCUCUUGAGUGGAAGAGAAGUAUGCGGAAUGCGUGGUGUAGCGGUGAAAUGCAUAGAUAUCACGCAGAACCCCGAUUGCGAAGGCAGCAUGCCGGCUUCCGACUGACGCUGAAGCACGAAAGCGUGGGGAUCGAACAGGAUUAGAUACCCGUGUA
This 465-nucleotide ribosomal RNA is filed under the name uncultured bacterium. RNAcentral describes it as "bacterial SSU rRNA". It matches the Rfam family "Bacterial small subunit ribosomal RNA", at positions 329 to 792 of the family's 1533-position model. The record is from RNAcentral.